CGAUUGUAGUCAUAUGCUUGUCUCAAAGAUUAAGCCAUGCAUGUCUAAGUAUAAGCAAUUAUACAGCGAAACUGCGAAUGGCUCAUUAUAUAAGUUAUAGUUUAUUUGAUAGUGCCUUACUACAUGGAUAACCGUGGUAAUUCUAGAGCUAAUACAUGCUGAAAGCCCCGACUCACGGAGGGGCGUAUUUAUUAGAUUAAAAACCAACGCCCUUCGGGGCUCACUGGUGAUUCAUGAUAACUUCUCGAAUCGCACGGCCUCGCGCCGGCGAUGGUUCAUUCAAAUUUCUUCCCUAUCAACUUUCGAUGUUUGGGUAGUGGCCAAACAUGGUGGCAACGGGUAACGGAGGGUUAGGGCUCGACCCCGGAGAAGGAGCCUGAGAAACGGCUCCUACAUCCAAGGAAGGCAGCAGGCGCGCAAAUUACCCAAUCCCGAUACGGGGAGGUAGUGACAAUAAAUACUGAUGCAGGGCUCUUUAGGGUCUUGCAAUUGGAAUGAGUACAAUUUAAAUCCCUUAACGAGGAACAAUUGGAGGGCAAGUCUGGA
This 546-nucleotide ribosomal RNA is filed under the name uncultured eukaryote. RNAcentral describes it as "SSU rRNA". It matches the Rfam family "Eukaryotic small subunit ribosomal RNA", at positions 21 to 565 of the family's 1831-position model. The record is from RNAcentral.